RNA transcript from Mangifera indica (mango), 4252 nucleotides. RefSeq lists it as uncharacterized. The transcript has 2 exons. The record is from RefSeq and is a predicted model, not a curated record. NCBI's taxonomy places the organism in Eukaryota, Viridiplantae, Streptophyta, Magnoliopsida, Sapindales, Anacardiaceae.
AACAUAAACCUUGACUUUUUUGUGUUUAAGUGUUAUAUUUUUGUGUCUACCCCUUUUGCAAAGUAACUGGCAAAGUGUUCAUUUCAGUUUGGUUAUUGACCUGUUUUAUUUUAUCCCGGAGAGUAUAGAGCAGGAGGUUUGGUUUUUUGUCUUAUACAGAUGGUAACGUCAACGUCCAGACUCCUGGUUAUUCUGGUGGAAUCUUUUAUCUGACAAUAAGUGAUAUUGUCUUAGUUUGCUUUUUUGUCAUAUAUUCUCUGCAAUUUUGUUUAAAAUUGGCAUGGUGGGUCUAAGGUGAGGAUCGAGUUUAAGUGAUGGAAUAUGGCUUAUUUAUUUGUCUUCUCCAAUGUUAGCAAAUAUUUUAGUGUUUAAGGUCCUCGCAGGCAUUCCUAUUCAAUUUUAAAAUUUGCAUCUUCAUAUAGUAGGCUUGAAAUUAUUCAUUUACAUGAUUAUGUGUGUUAAUAUAUCAUAUGGGUAUCUGAAUCCAUGGUUUAGGGGUGUUGCCAUGUUAUGUACCCAUUCGUUCUUGCUGAUGCAGUAGCAUGACUUGGGUUUUAAAUUUCACUUAAAUUUAAAAGCAAGUUACUGUUAUUAUGACAAAGUUGUUAUAUCGCUCAUAGGUUUCUGUUAGGUUCCUGGUCAAUCUUCGUUACUAUUAGAGUCCAGAAGUUGUAGCUCACCUGUUUUAUUCAACUCAGCAGUACCCACAAUUCUUUCAGGCAACUCAAUUGUCGACAGUGCAAAUAACAACCCAAACAACCACGCAAUCAAUGGAACAGAAAACACUUUGCAAAAGGAUAAUCUGCAAUUCAUUCAUUCAUUAAGGUUAAACCAAAAUUACAAAAGUUCAUUACAUUCAAAGAUCUGAAAACCCAACUGGAAAAUAUCAAACUCUACAAUGAGCAAACUAAGUAAUUUUCCUGCUUCCCUAGGAAAUUCUAGAGACCUAGUGCUCUCCCAAAACCAUCUUCCUCUUUUUCUGAAAUCUCUGAUGAUGUCCCUCCACAAACUCCCUCUUUCUUUAUAUUGUUACCAAUUGUCUUGCUUUCUGCUGGUGGUCCUGGUGGCUGUGUGCAUGCCCUCUGCUCCAAUCUUGUGAAGUGCUUUAUAUUGUUACCAAUUUUAGAUCUUUUUUCUCAUUAUUUAAUUUUUUUUGUAUGUGUGUGUAUAUAUAUAAAACAAAUAUGUCCAAUUCUCCUCUAGGUUAUGCUUUUUCGUUUAAAUUUAUUUUAAGCUUUUCUGGAUCAUUGGGUUAGAUCUGUUUGGAGAGACAAAAGAUCUAAAAUUUUCCCUUUUAAUCCAAACAAAAGAAAGCCAAGAAUUUUUUUCUUCCCUCAUUUGAGCUACAUGUUAUGAUUUUUACAGACAAGAUUGUCAUGUUUUGUUUUCAUUUAAUUAUUUUUGCAGAGGUGUGAAUUGGAUUUUUCUCAUUGUUACUUAUUUGAAGAAGUGAUUUAAAAGAUGAAUUAUGGGUUUUUGUUUCAUGAUACUGGGACAAAUUUCUGAACUGAAUUUGUUCCUAAAUUUUAAUUAUCUGGUUUUUUCAAUGAUAUGGGUCUUUUUUUAUUGUUGACUGAAUUUGUUUUUAAUGAGAGAUUUUAAGAGGUUACAACAACUGCCACCUGCAGGCAUCAGAAGGGCACCCCAAUACAACAAUAUUAAGCUUUUGAAUGCUGUGAUAUUCGAGUAAGAAUGUGAAAAAUGUGUACCAAUCCCUUUUUAUGUUUUCUUAUGAUAUUUACUUCAUUUAUUUACAUUUAUCAGUAUAUUUCAGUAAGGUGGGAUACGCAGUAUCUUGUUUCUAUGCUUAUUUGGAUUGCAGUCUUUAUGGUUUUUUAUGGGAUGGAGGUCAGUAAUCCUGCUGCUCAAACCUUUAUUGGUUGUUCACUGUUUUGUAAGUGUUGAGUUUGUCUGUUUUUUAUGCUUCAUGUUCUCUCACUGCCUACAUUCUUUAUGCAUUCUCUGGCUUCAUUUUGUUUUGGAUUAUGCUUUCAUGUUCCAAAUUCUGUAUGCUAUUUCUCUUUAUGCUCUUCUUAAACCCUAAACCCAGUUACUUUGAUAAUAUUUCUUAAGUGAAUAUUAUCAAUUUUCUUGAGUUGAAAUUUAUUAAGUUAUUAUUCCAAUUGAAUUCUAUUCUUAACUCAAUUGGCAAUCUUGUCCUAAUUCUGUUUAUAAUCCAGUUUUUAUUUGUAUUGCUGUUUUUAUUCAUAUUGUAGUUCUAUUCCAGGGAAUAAAAAAAGAAUAGAAACAAGAUCUGGAAUAACAACAGGAAACAGAAACAGAAACUGGAAUAAGAAUAGAAAUAGGUACAGGAUCAAGAAGUGGAAUAAGAAACAGAAUAGAAACAACAACAUAAUGUGGAAUAGGAAUAUAACCCGAAAUAAAAAACAGUAACUGAAAUAAGAUUAACCCCAUGAACAGGAAUAGUCACAGUAGCUGGAAUCUAAGUUCUUUUUCCCAUUCCUUCUUACAUUCCUAUUCUAAAUUCAGUCUCAUACUGGAAUUUAAACUCUUAUUUUGUCACUAUUUCGCAUAUAUUUUUCAUCAACUCUCAAACUUCAGUCAUUACAAAUGAAUAAGUUUUUUUGAGCCUUUCAAUAAUUUACUAUUCACUAAAGAAAAUGAGUUUCCUAACUUUUGAUGGUAUCAUUUAACUUGCAGUGUUAAUUUUGGAAUUUUAUAUGUACUUUUUAAUGUAGGGAAUUUUUUUAUUUAGUGAAUGUGAAAAUUUUUCUGCUUGUUACCCUGGUUUCUUAUGAGGUCUAUUCCAAUCUCUUUUAUUCCGUCCCAUUUUAUUCCAGCCCCUUCCCUAUUCAAACUAAAUUUCUUCCAGCUCAUUUUCUAUUCCACCCUAUUCUAUUCCAACCCAAUUCUAGCCAUAUUUUAUUCCAGUUCAUUUUACUGUUGGCCAAUUUAUUCUAGCCUAUUCCCUAUUCUAUUCCUAAUCCCAUUUUACUGUAGCCCAAUCUCCAUUUCAGCCCAUUUUAUUAAAGCCCACUCUCCAUCCAGCCCAUUUUAUUAUAGCCCAUUCUCCAUUCCAGGCCAUUCUCCAUUCCACCCCAUUUUCCAUUGUAGCCCAUUUUAUUCUAGCCCAUCUCUAUUCCAGCCCAUCUCUAUUCCAGCCUUUUUUCUAGCCCAUCUCUAUUCCAGCCCGUUCUUAUUUUAGCCCAUUCUUAUUCUAGCCUAAUCCCUAUUUGGUCUAGCCUAUUCUAUAUUCUAGCCCAUUUUCUAUUCCAACCCAAUUUUCAUCCCAGCCAGAAUGCCAGCCAAAAUCCCACUCCAAGCCCAUUCCCCCUCCAUUCCCAUUCCCAUUCCCAAGCCAUUCCUAGCCCAUUUCAAGCUUAUUCCAAGCCCAUUCUCAUAAUCUGCCCAUUCCCAUUCCCAUUUCCAAUCCAAGCCCAUUCCUCUUGCCUAUUUCAAUCCACUACCAUGCACUUGCCUAUUUCUCCUCUCUUCUCAAAAUCUCAAAGACCGUGAUGUGUUUACUUAUUUGUCUUCUUCAAUGGUGGCGUGUAUUUUAGGGUUCAAGGUGGUGCUAACUCUGACUUCUACAACAAAGAGGAUAAUGAGAGAUUUCAAGAGGUUACAGCAAGAUCCGCCAAAAGGCAUCAUGGGGCGCCCCAAUCCAACAAUACUAAGCUAUGGAAUGCUGUGAUAUCCAGGCAAGAAUGGAAAAAUGUGUACCAAUCCCUUUUUAGGUUUGCCUAUGAUAUUUACUUCAUUUGUUUCCGUUUAUCAGUAUGUUAAAUGGUUAUUCCUUGGCAUGGAGGUGAGUAAUCUUGCGACUAAAGCCUUUACUGGAUGGCAGUGCGAAUAUGAAUACAUCCAUUGGAGAAUUCAAGAGCAACUUUGUUUCAUUGCAUUGUAUAUUACUAAACGAUACUAUUGAAAGAAGCUUUAGUUUCAACCUUGAUUUGCAACUCAGAAGCAAGCAGCAAGAUGGGUGCUUCACCUGUGAUGGCAGCGUUGACUGUAUUGAGCUUGUGUAGCUAGGUUGUUUCCCAGAAAGUGCACGCAAGUGUCAAAAAUAGAUUAGGCAAUGGGAUAAACAUUACACUGCAUUGUCAAUCCAAAAACGAUGACCUUGGGCAGCAGAAUGUUGCCGACGGAAGUACCUUGUUACAGAACAAUUGUCUUUGAAACCGGACUUUCCUCAACCAGCUGUAGAAGAGCAGAUUUCUCGUUGAGAAAAGCCCUUUCUUGAAUUGUAUCUGUUUCAUUAUCUCCACAGUAAUCUACAAGAAUCUGGACA